GACGAACGCUGGCGGCGUGCUUAACACAUGCAAGUCGAACGGAAAGGCCCUGCAUUUGUGGGGUGCUCGAGUGGCGAACGGGUGAGUAACACGUGAGUAACCUGCCCUUGACUUUGGGAUAACUUCAGGAAACUGGGGCUAAUACCGGAUAGGAGCUCCUGCUGCAUGGUGGGGGUUGGAAAGUUUCGGCGGUUGGGGAUGGACUCGCGGCUUAUCAGCUUGUUGGUGGGGUAGUGGCUUACCAAGGCUUUGACGGGUAGCCGGCCUGAGAGGGUGACCGGCCACAUUGGGACUGCGAUACGGCCCAGACUCCUACGGGAGGCAGCAGUGGGGAAUAUUGCACAAUGGGCGGAAGCCUGAUGCAGCAACGCCGCGUGCGGGAUGACGGCCUUCGGGUUGUAAACCGCUUUCGCCUGUGACGAAGCGUGAGUGACGGUAAUGGGUAAAGAAGCACCGGCUAACUACGUG
This 468-nucleotide ribosomal RNA is filed under the name uncultured bacterium. RNAcentral's name for it is "partial 16S ribosomal RNA". It matches the Rfam family "Bacterial small subunit ribosomal RNA", at positions 28 to 507 of the family's 1533-position model. The record is from RNAcentral.